RNAcentral lists this long non-coding RNA (1138 nucleotides) under Pan troglodytes (chimpanzee). Its description in RNAcentral is "lncRNA (ENSPTRG00000053791.1)". The record is from RNAcentral. Lineage: Eukaryota; Metazoa; Chordata; Mammalia; Primates; Hominidae.
GAAUGUUUCAUCAUGAGAUGUAAGCAUCAUGUUCAAGACCCUGAGUGCUUCAUAAAAAAAAAAGUUCCUUUUCCACCAAAACAAUGCCCUGAUUUGAGUGCUUCAUCAAAAGAGAAAGAUUUCUCAUGAUAAACCAUAUUCUAAGCACUUAGAUCACAAUAUAGUAAAUUUUCAAAAGGAAGUCACUUUUGCCAAGAUAUAAAGGCUCAUGUAUGUAAAUUCUAUGCUUCCAAUAUAAGUACAUUUCAAAAAUAUUAUUAAACACUUAUUUACUGAGUGCUGCUUAUAUGCCUCCCAUUCUCACUCUUUUUUGUGGUUGAAUUUAAUCAACACACAACUCUAAGGAAUAGGCAUGACUCAUUAUUUUCAUUUUACACUUGAGGAAACUGAGGCACUCAGUGUUUUACAUAUAUAAAAACGAGUAUGAGGUUCAGCCAAAAUUCAAAUACCGAACGUCUGGCUCCAAAGCCCACAUGGUAUUCACCAUAAAUAGAAAUUUCAUACUAGAAAUCAUAUUGUUUUAUUUCCCUCAGGAGCAAUUUAGGAAAUAAAUUAAAAACUUUAAAGUGGUGAUUUAAAGCAACUCACCUUUUUGCCAGUUAUGUGUUACCUUAAGAGAAAAUUGCAAGAAAUGAGAAAGAUAAAGCUUGAUGAGGAUGACACUAUCAUGAAUCACACGAAAAGAAAAGAGGAUUAUUUAGCAUAUUGAAUAUGAAGUUGUAGAUUCAGGGCAACAUCAAGACGGAUGAACUCCCCCACCAAGCUGUUUAACAAACUGGCUCUCUAUCGAGCUGGCCAUGCCGAGUUAGUAGCAGAUCUGCAAUGAUGCCUCUACCAAGCUCACAAUUAUACAAAUGGUGCAGCAGCAGGAAAGCACAUAGAAGAGGGCUACACAGAAGAUACGAGCUCCAGUCAGGUCAUGACACAAAGCCACAGAACUUAACUGGGAAAUGAGCAAUGCUUAUGUGUCCAGCAUUGUCUCAAUUGGUUUCCCAUGCAGAGAGCUCAAAGAGCAUCCUAUCUGAUAUGCACCAGGCAACAACUGAGAACAAGGACCAGCCAAAGUCAUCAGAAGGGUAGCACAGUUGCUGCUAGCAGCCGCUGUGCCCUGAGGGGUGAGGGAAAUGUGGUCGCCUAA